Molecule: ribosomal RNA, 432 nt
Filed under: uncultured bacterium
Lineage: Bacteria
Description: bacterial SSU rRNA
Rfam family: Bacterial small subunit ribosomal RNA
Source: RNAcentral
AUGAACGCUGGCGGCGUGCCUUAUGCAUGCAAGUCGAACGAUCCCCGCAAGGGGGCAGUGGCGGACGGGUGAGUACAAGCAAGGAACGUACCUCAAACUUCAGCAUAGCUCGUCGAAAGACGGGGUAAUGCGGGAUGUGGACGCAAGUCUAAAGGGCAUAACAACCCGGUUUGAGAGCGGCCUUGUGACUAUCAGCUUGUUGGCAGGGUAAAAGCCUACCAAGGCUAUGACGGUUAGGGGGCGUGAGAGCGCGACCCCCCACAAUGGCACUGAGACACGGGCCAUACAACUACGGGUGGCAGCAACAGGGAAUCGUUGGCAAUGGACGAAAGUCUGACCACGCGACGCCGCGUGAGGGAUGAAGGCUCUCGGGUCGUAAACCUCUUUUACUUCGCCGUCGAGGCGGAGAGAAUAAGCACCUACAAACUACGU